RNAcentral lists this unclassified non-coding RNA (273 nucleotides) under uncultured Ascomycota. RNAcentral's name for it is "sequence contains 5.8S rRNA gene, ITS2, 28S rRNA gene". Lineage: Eukaryota; Fungi; Ascomycota. The record is from RNAcentral.
AACGCACAUUGCGCCCCCUGGUAUUCUGGGGGGCACGCCUGUCCGAGCGUCAUUUACUCCCUUCAAGCUUAGCUUGUCAUGGCCCGCAAGUCCCCGUGUCCACUGACGCGAUGGGACCCGGCCGAAAUAUCUAGCGCCCGAACCACAAGGACGGUGUCUCUGGGAACACAGUACACCCUGCUCUGAGUGGCUUGCAUGGGUUGCAACAUGGUGCCUGUAGUAAGGCUCAACACGAUUGACCUCGGAUCAGGCGGGGAAACCCGCUGAACUUAA